RNAcentral lists this ribosomal RNA (320 nucleotides) under Typhlatya pearsei. Its description in RNAcentral is "partial large subunit ribosomal RNA". Lineage: Eukaryota; Metazoa; Arthropoda; Malacostraca; Decapoda; Atyidae. The record is from RNAcentral.
GAAAGGUAGCAUAAUCAAUAGUCUCUUAAUUGGAGUCUGGAAUGAAUGGUCGGAUGAAAUAUAAUUUGUCUGCGAAUAUAGUGUUGAAUUUUACUUUUCCGUGAAAAGGCUUAAAUAAAUUCAAGGGACGAUAAGACCCUGUGAAGCCUUAUUUUUAUUAUAUUUUAAUAUUUGAUAGUUGUGUGAUUAAAUUUGAGUUUAGUAAAAAUUAAAUUGGGGCGAUUGGAAUAUAUUAUUAACUGUUUUUAAUAGUAAAAUAAAUAAUUUUUAGGUGUUGAUCUUGUAUUACGGAUUAUAAGAUUAAAGUUACUCCAGGGAUA